Oncorhynchus gorbuscha (pink salmon) is the source of this 318-nucleotide long non-coding RNA. RefSeq lists it as uncharacterized. NCBI's taxonomy places the organism in Eukaryota, Metazoa, Chordata, Actinopteri, Salmoniformes, Salmonidae. The record is from RefSeq and is a predicted model, not a curated record. The transcript is spliced from 3 exons.
ACCAGACCCCUCGUCAAGGUGUGGUGUGGCUCAUCCUUUCAUGGCAAGAGCAGCAUUCUGAAGAAACAGGAAAACCCCACCUGGCCCGACCAGUUCAACCUUGGCAAACAUCCUUCCCAACUCUAUCCUGACACUGGAGGUGUGGGAUGAUGUCAUCGGACCAGAUCGCCACAUGGGAACCUGCACCACCACCAUCCGCCCAGGAACACACACUGAGACCUGCCACCUGAAGAAAGGCACCGUCUACUACACCUACAGCUACGGCUACAGUCACUAGAUGGAACAGUAUUAUGGUUAGAAUGUAACCUAUGACCUUGU